This 200-nucleotide unclassified non-coding RNA is filed under the name uncultured fungus. Its description in RNAcentral is "sequence contains ITS1". Lineage: Eukaryota; Fungi. The record is from RNAcentral.
UUAUUAUGUUUAUUAAAACUUGUUUACAUUCAUUAUACUGAGUUUAUAAAAAGGGGGGUUGAACUGCCGUUCGCAAUUAAGCUGCAGACAGAACAAGAGCACAGGGUGUAUGUGGAUGUGAAGGGACUUGACAAGCUCUUUCGAGACUUGACCAAGUAUUUAAAUCACUAGUGAUCCUUCCGCAGGUUCACCUACGGAAA